CAUUACUUUAAUAAAACUGGAUGAUUAUACCACUUUCAUGUGUUGUUAUAAAGUAUUAACCAACUCAAAGUCUGGCUAAAGCUUAAUAUACAUGCAUGAAUAAAGACCACCCUGAUUUAUAAUACAUAUACGUACGUACCUUUCUGUAUGAUACCAUAUAUAGAUCAUGAUUAGAUCUUUCCUUAACUAAAAACCACUGACCACCUCAUGUAUACCAAGGAAUGCAUGGAUCUCACACUUAUAGAGCUCUUGUGAAGGACCCGAAUCCCUGCAAUAUCAUGGGGAAAAAAACCAAGAAAGAACAAAAUCAUAAUCUACAAGACGAUUUCUGACUUAUAAAGUUGUCACUAACUUAUCAUUUGUUAAAUAAAAUUG
Molecule: long non-coding RNA, 375 nt
Filed under: Panax ginseng (ginseng)
Lineage: Eukaryota; Viridiplantae; Streptophyta; Magnoliopsida; Apiales; Araliaceae
Description: long non-coding RNA (PGIN_LNC014532)
Source: RNAcentral